GAUGAAGAACGCAGCGAAAUGCGAUACGUAAUGUGAAUUGCAGAAUUCAGUGAAUCAUCGAAUCUUUGAACGCACAUUGCGCCCCCUGGUAUUCCGGGGGGCAUGCCUGUUCGAGCGUCAUUUCACCACUCAAGCCUCGCUUGGUAUUGGGCAACGCGGUCCGCCGCGUGCCUCAAAUCGACCGGCUGGGUCUUCUGUCCCCUAAGCGUUGUGGAAACUUUCGCUAAAGGGUGUUCGGGAGGCUACGCCGUAAAACAACCCCAUUUCUAAGGUUGACCUCGGAUCAGGUAGGGAUACCCGCUGAACUUAAGCAUAUCAAUAAGCGGAGGA
RNAcentral lists this unclassified non-coding RNA (330 nucleotides) under soil metagenome. RNAcentral's name for it is "partial contains 5.8S ribosomal RNA, internal transcribed spacer 2, and large subunit ribosomal RNA". The stretch from base 1 to 120 matches the Rfam family "5.8S ribosomal RNA", at positions 35 to 154 of the family's 154-position model. The record is from RNAcentral.